Molecule: ribosomal RNA, 1157 nt
Filed under: Staphylococcus aureus
Lineage: Bacteria; Bacillati; Bacillota; Bacilli; Caryophanales; Staphylococcaceae
Description: partial 23S ribosomal RNA
Rfam family: Bacterial large subunit ribosomal RNA
Source: RNAcentral
CUGGGUUAGUCGGGUCCUAAGCUGAGGCCGACAGGCGUAGGCGAUGGAUAACAGGUUGAUAUUCCUGUACCACCUAUAAUCGUUUUAAUCGAUGGGGGGACGCAGUAGGAUAGGCGAAGCGUGCGAUUGGAUUGCACGUCUAAGCAGUAAGGCUGAGUAUUAGGCAAAUCCGGUACUCGUUAAGGCUGAGCUGUGAUGGGGAGAAGACAUUGUGUCUUCGAGUCGUUGAUUUCACACUGCCGAGAAAAGCCUCUAGAUAGAAAAUAGGUGCCCGUACCGCAAACCGACACAGGUAGUCAAGAUGAGAAUUCUAAGGUGAGCGAGCGAACUCUCGUUAAGGAACUCGGCAAAAUGACCCCGUAACUUCGGGAGAAGGGGUGCUCUUUAGGGUUAACGCCCAGAAGAGCCGCAGUGAAUAGGCCCAAGCGACUGUUUAUCAAAAACACAGGUCUCUGCUAAACCGUAAGGUGAUGUAUAGGGGCUGACGCCUGCCCGGUGCUGGAAGGUUAAGAGGAGUGGUUAGCUUCUGCGAAGCUACGAAUCGAAGCCCCAGUAAACGGCGGCCGUAACUAUAACGGUCCUAAGGUAGCGAAAUUCCUUGUCGGGUAAGUUCCGACCCGCACGAAAGGCGUAACGAUUUGGGCACUGUCUCAACGAGAGACUCGGUGAAAUCAUAGUACCUGUGAAGAUGCAGGUUACCCGCGACAGGACGGAAAGACCCCGUGGAGCUUUACUGUAGCCUGAUAUUGAAAUUCGGCACAGCUUGUACAGGAUAGGUAGGAGCCUUUGAAACGUGAGCGCUAGCUUACGUGGAGGCGCUGGUGGGAUACUACCCUAGCUGUGUUGGCUUUCUAACCCGCACCACUUAUCGUGGUGGGAGACAGUGUCAGGCGGGCAGUUUGACUGGGGCGGUCGCCUCCUAAAAGGUAACGGAGGCGCUCAAAGGUUCCCUCAGAAUGGUUGGAAAUCAUUCAUAGAGUGUAAAGGCAUAAGGGAGCUUGACUGCGAGACCUACAAGUCGAGCAGGGUCGAAAGACGGACUUAGUGAUCCGGUGGUUCCGCAUGGAAGGGCCAUCGCUCAACGGAUAAAAGCUACCCCGGGGAUAACAGGCUUAUCUCCCCCAAGAGUUCACAUCGACGGGGAGGUUUGGCACCUC